CCCAGACUCCUACGGGAGGCAGCAGUGAGGAAUAUUGGUCAAUGGGCGCGAGCCUGAACCAGCCAAGUCGCGUGAGGGAUGAAGGAUCUAUGGUUCGUAAACCUCUUUUAUAAGGGAAUAAAGUGCGGGACGCGUCCCGCUUCGCAUGUACCUUAUGAAUAAGGAUCGGCUAACUCCGUGCCAGCAGCCGCGGUAAUACGGGGGAUGCAAGCGUUGUCCGGAAUCAUUGGGCGUAAAGAGUUCGUAGGUGGCACGUUAAGUCUGGUGUUAAAUGCAGAGGCUCAACCUCUGUUCGGCUCUGGAUACUGGCGAGCUUGAAUGCGGUAGAGGUAAAGGGAAUUCCUGGUGUAGCGGUGAAAUGCGUAGAUAUCAGGAGGAACAUCGGUGGCGUAAGCGCUGUACUGGGCCGUAAUUGACACUGAGGAACGAAAGCCAGGGUAGCAAAUGGGAUUAGAUACCCGCGUAACC
This 468-nucleotide ribosomal RNA is filed under the name uncultured bacterium. Its description in RNAcentral is "bacterial SSU rRNA". It matches the Rfam family "Bacterial small subunit ribosomal RNA", at positions 330 to 795 of the family's 1533-position model. The record is from RNAcentral.